CGGGGCGUAGCGCAGCCCGGUAGCGCACUCGCUUGGGGUGCGAGGGGUCGUGGGUUCAAAUCCCGCCGCCCCGA
This 74-nucleotide transfer RNA is filed under the name Nitrospira defluvii. RNAcentral describes it as "Candidatus Nitrospira defluvii tRNA". It matches the Rfam family "tRNA". From Rfam's summary of the family: Transfer RNA (tRNA) molecules are approximately 80 nucleotides in length. Their secondary structure includes four short double-helical elements and three loops (D, anti-codon, and T loops). Further hydrogen bonds mediate the characteristic L-shaped molecular structure. tRNAs have two regions of fundamental functional importance: the anti-codon, which is responsible for specific mRNA codon recognition, and the 3' end, to which the tRNAs corresponding amino acid is attached (by aminoacyl-tRNA synthetases). tRNAs cope with the degeneracy of the genetic code in two manners: having more than one tRNA (with a specific anti-codon) for a particular amino acid; and 'wobble' base-pairing, i.e. permitting non-standard base-pairing at the 3rd anti-codon position. Lineage: Bacteria; Pseudomonadati; Nitrospirota; Nitrospiria; Nitrospirales; Nitrospiraceae. The record is from Rfam by way of RNAcentral.